AUUGAACGCUGGCGGCAGGCCUAACACAUGCAAGUCGAACGGUAACAGGAAGAAGCUUGCUUCUUUGCCGACGAGUGGCGGACGGGUGAGUAAUGUCUGGGAAACUGCCUGAUGGAGGGGGAUAACUACUGGAAACGGUAGCUAAUACCGCAUAACGUCGCAAGACCAAAGAGGGGGACCUUCGGGCCUCUUGCCAUCGGAUGUGCCCAGAUGGGAUUAGCUAGUAGGUGGGGUAACGGCUCACCUAGGCGACGAUCCCUAGCUGGUCUGAGAGGAUGACAAGCCACACUGGAACUGAGACACGGUCCAGACUCCUACGGGAGGCAGCAGUGGGGAAUAUUGCACAAUGGGCGCAAGCCUGAUGCAGCCAUGCCGCGUGUAUGAAGAAGGCCUUCGGGUUGUAAAGUACUUUCAGCGGGGAGGAAGGGAGUAAAGUUAAUACCUUUGCUCAUUGACGUUACCCGCAGAAGAAGCACCGGCUAACUCCGUG
This 490-nucleotide ribosomal RNA is filed under the name uncultured bacterium. Its description in RNAcentral is "partial 16S ribosomal RNA". It matches the Rfam family "Bacterial small subunit ribosomal RNA", at positions 30 to 507 of the family's 1533-position model. The record is from RNAcentral.